Molecule: long non-coding RNA, 1701 nt
Filed under: Eucalyptus grandis
Lineage: Eukaryota; Viridiplantae; Streptophyta; Magnoliopsida; Myrtales; Myrtaceae
Description: long non-coding RNA (EGRA_LNC000883)
Source: RNAcentral
AGGCACGAGAUCGGAGAGAGAGGAGACCGUAAACAAGCCUGGGCGAGAACUUUCAAGAGGGAUAAAGAAUAGAGUGAGGACUAAUCAGUAGACGAUAGUCUCGAAUUGUUCUGCAAGAGAGAGGCCGAAUGCGAAUGAUAAAGUGAGAAAUGAGUGAGAGAGAGAGAGAGAGAGAGAGAGAGAGAGAGAGAGAGAGAGAGAGAGAGAGAGAGGACCUAUUAGUAGUAGAGAGGACCUAUUAGUAGUAGGCUAUAGUCUCGAAUUAUUUUUGAUGGACUUAUAUCUUCAUAUGGCUGAUUGACUAGUAGCAAUAAAAUUGUUUUUAGGUGGCAAGCUAUGUCAAGCCACACAAUAUGGACCAGCGUACGGAAUGACCUCUUCUGCUCAUAUCUACUUAAAAACCAUUUUGUUAAACUGAUAAAUGUGGUUCUAACCGACUUGUGAAUCUUCCAUUAUAUUAUUUUCAAAGACAUUCUUACUCCUGUAAAUGUUAAAUUAUCCUCCUACCCUGAACAUGGAUAAAUCAUAUUGUCAAAUCCAUUGUAAGUCAGUAAUUUCCUGCACUGUGUAUAUAUGUCUUUGCUCUAAGCAGUAAAAUCGCAAGAAAACCACACUUUAUGAUGAGUUUUUCUAAUUCAGUCCACAAAGAGAAAGUCCACCUAAAAAUUGUCUACAUAUUAAAUAUGCAUAAGUACGUUGAAAGUAGCAGCUUUGCUCACUUUCAAGUUUUCCAUUGUAACCAGCACAGAAAAAUGGUACGAUUGCAAAUUUUUCAUAAUUUACGAAAGACAUUUGAAUUUUCUGUCAUUUUUCCAGGAAUUACGGAAAUUGCUAAUAAAAUGAAAAAUGGUAUUAUGGACAUCCAAAAAUUCUCUGGUUGAUCUGACCUGUUCGAAAAAAAAAUUAUUGUUGAUAAUUCUCAUCCAUAGCCUGUGAAAGGUUUUGUGCGAUUAUAGAAGGAAAUAGAUUAGCACCAUCGAUAUUUGGAAAAAUAUAGUUUUUUAAAUAUUUUCAAGAAAAAAAGAAAUAUUUUCACAAAAACUGAGUAUUUUGGAUCUUUCAUGCUUUAAGUAAUUUUGGACAAUUGCUGUACGUAUAAGGCCAAUGGACCAAAAUUGAGUCUAGAAGGGUAUUUUCGCAAUUUUCAUCAAGCAGGCUUUUUUGUCCCAAGAGCUUAGUCAACCAUUAAUGUUUUGGAAACAAUGUCAAAGAUAAGGGCCAGCAUGUGAUUCCACCAUAUUCAACCGGUCUAACCAUUCACAACGGUUUUUUUUUCUAGGUUCAAAAUAACCAAUUAGUUUAAAUGAGAAGAUUUUAAUAAGAAAAAUUAGCAAUAUAUAUGAUGAUGAUUUUGAAAAAAUCGAGGGAAUUAUACAAGAAAUAUUUUGUAUGCCUUAAAGGAUGCUAGGCGUUAGGCCAUGAGUAAUAAUCAAAUAUAUUUUUGUCCUAUCAAUUGUAAUAGAUGGGAGAAUGAAGGUCAAGCUUACCUCGAGGAGCAAUGCAGAGAUGAAAUUACUGUGAUGGGUGUUUGAGAAGAAGUCGCCUUGAAGUAGAUCAAGUUGUGUUCGAGUCUCGAAAGACAGUACAAUUCGAGGAUCACCUUCACACCUCAGCCUAGAGCUAUCAAAGCACAUAUAUCUCAGAACAAAAUGAGAGUCUCAAUGAUUUAUGGUGAUUGGUGUUUCUCCUCUUCAAGCACAA